AUCUAGUUGACGAGUCCCAGAUAGGACUCAAUGCGCGUCCUGGAU
RNAcentral lists this non-coding RNA (45 nucleotides) under Schistosoma mansoni. Lineage: Eukaryota; Metazoa; Platyhelminthes; Trematoda; Strigeidida; Schistosomatidae. The record is from RNAcentral.